This is a long non-coding RNA of Empidonax traillii (willow flycatcher), 1618 nucleotides long. RefSeq lists it as uncharacterized. The transcript is spliced from 3 exons. The record is from RefSeq and is a predicted model, not a curated record. Lineage: Eukaryota; Metazoa; Chordata; Aves; Passeriformes; Tyrannidae.
GUCAUCAUGAGGCAUUAGCUGGCUGGUGUCUGUAGCUUCUUUGAGUUGGGAUUAGGGGAUUUGGUCUGCUGUCCAGAGGUGCCAUGGUUCUUCCCCAUGUCUACAGGGUGAAUGUUGCACAUCAGAGCUGGCAUCUUUGUUAAUGUCUGAACAGAGGGCGAGGAUUAAAUAGGCCUGACAGCUGAGGGGAUUUUCAAAGGCACGAGUGGUAUUUAGACAUGUAUCUUCUGCUGGUUUCUGUUGGUUUUCCAGACUUGCUUUCAGAUGCCUGGUUUGAUGUGGGUCUGUCACCGCACUGCUCUACCUGACGCUGUUAUGGACAAGCUACUUAUGGGUGUUUGAUGAAGAUUUGGGGAAAUUUUCAGAGAUACAAAUGUCAACACCCAAGUUACACUGAUGAGAUGGAGAAGCCCAUUCUCGAUAGGAAGGAGUUAAUAAAGAACCUGGAGAAGGUUCUGUCUUGUCACUCAUUGUGUGACAAGCUUGGAGAUGAAAGACUCGCAUGGAGAGUGGUACAUUGUGCAUUAGGAUCGGCAGAUAUCCUCUGGGAUCUGAGCAGUGAAGGACUAUUUGAGAUGUGCGCUCUGUGCUUGUCAAAGAGAAGUAAGUGCUGCAAUAAAAAUAGAAUAUUCAAACUCCUCUCAGUCUGGGUAGAAGGAGGACUUCACCUUUGUGCAAGAAGACCUUCUUAAUCUGCAAGUUCUCCUAGAAAGGGUUUUAAGAGCAGCCGUCCAUUUCUGUGCAGGAACAGACAUAUGUUAAAGGCUGUCAUGCUGCUGCAGAAGCAAACCAGUGAGCUCAUGGGCUGCCUCUGCCAAUGGUUAAGGUCAGCUACUGGGAAAAAUUACAAGACAGCUAUUACAGCCAGGUACGGUCCUGCAGAAGGGCCUUCAUUGAGAAUUGUUACUCUUUGCUCAAUUUUGUGCAAGCCAGUGAGACUGUGACCUGGAAAAAUCGCUUCUGAUUCUCGAAACAAGGACGGCAAGGUGUGUGCAGGUCGGCGUCAGUUUGGGGGUUGGGACUUUUUUUUUUUUUUGGCCAUUCAAGUUUUUUAGUCAUAAACUGCCUUUUUUGUUGACAAAUGGGGAUCAUUCCUGAAAAUUGUCAGGACAGCUUGUCCGUGUGGUAGAUUUUCUUCUCUUUCCCUACCCUUUAAAGCAUUACAGGAGCUUGAGCAACAAUCUUCUUGGCUGACACGAAGGGCAGAGGCACCAGUCUGAUAGAGAGGACGUACUGUCACCACUGCAGCCCAAGGGAUUCUCAGCCCUUACCUAAACAUCGUGACACUCUGGCCUCUUCACUCUGGUCAGCAGCCUUCACUUAGACACAGACUUGGAUCUAGUUACAAUUUUAACGGGCAGAGCUCAGAAAAGUUAUUAGUGACUGUAGGAAAAAGCAAGUGAGCAGGCCAUAAAUCAGGCCAUCGGAUGAAUUCAGAACGCACUAAUAAAAUCAGAGCUUCCAAUAAAUUUCAUUUCAGGCAGAGUAGAAACAGAUUCUCAGUCGAGAGUUCAGCACAGAUUAUAAUUUCAGAUGUGUGGCUGGUCAACUCAAAAUGCCUACAAAAAUGUUUGCAAGCAGGCAGCAAUGGCUGGUCCAGAGCCAGGCCCUCACACCA